AUUGUUGUUCUUCUUCUUCAAUUGUAGAUCUAAUUUGCAG
This 40-nucleotide small RNA is filed under the name Arabidopsis thaliana (thale cress). RNAcentral describes it as "ATSL055140". Lineage: Eukaryota; Viridiplantae; Streptophyta; Magnoliopsida; Brassicales; Brassicaceae. The record is from RNAcentral.